AAAAUGUGAUAUUCAGUGUGAAUUGCAGAAUUCAGUGAAUCAUCAGGUUGCUGAACGCAGACGGCACUUUUGGGUUCUCCCAAAAGUAUGUCUAUCUCAGUAUUUCUAAAACUUUCUUUUUACUUUUCAAGUAAAUAGAUUCAUUUGCGCGCUGCAUUUUUGUGGUGUGCUUUCUGUAACUGGAUUUCAAAACCCAUUUUCUUUAUGAUUGUGUGUUUUGUGAUUUCAAUUCAAGUUUGAAUCUGAGAUUAGACAAGGCUACCCGCUGAAUUUAA
Molecule: unclassified non-coding RNA, 275 nt
Filed under: uncultured fungus
Lineage: Eukaryota; Fungi
Description: sequence contains ITS1
Rfam family: 5.8S ribosomal RNA (bases 1-105)
Source: RNAcentral